RNAcentral lists this ribosomal RNA (462 nucleotides) under Nocardia nova. RNAcentral describes it as "bacterial SSU rRNA". It matches the Rfam family "Bacterial small subunit ribosomal RNA", at positions 28 to 507 of the family's 1533-position model. The record is from RNAcentral. Lineage: Bacteria; Bacillati; Actinomycetota; Actinomycetes; Mycobacteriales; Nocardiaceae. RNAcentral also lists the same sequence under 3 other names.
GACGAACGCUGGCGGCGUGCUUAACACAUGCAAGUCGAGCGGUAAGGCCCUUCGGGGUACACGAGCGGCGAACGGGUGAGUAACACGUGGGUGAUCUGCCUUGCACUCUGGGAUAAGCCUGGGAAACUGGGUCUAAUACCGGAUAUGACCUGCGAUUGCAUGAUCGUGGGUGGAAAGAUUUAUCGGUGCAAGAUGAGCCCGCGGCCUAUCAGCUUGUUGGUGGGGUAAUGGCCUACCAAGGCGACGACGGGUAGCCGGCCUGAGAGGGCGACCGGCCACACUGGGACUGAGACACGGCCCAGACUCCUACGGGAGGCAGCAGUGGGGAAUAUUGCACAAUGGGCGGAAGCCUGAUGCAGCGACGCCGCGUGAGGGAUGACGGCCUUCGGGUUGUAAACCUCUUUCGACUCCGACGAAGCGAAAGUGACGGUAGGAGUAUAAGAAGCACCGGCCAACUACGUG